GACGAACGCUGGCGGCGUGCUUAACACAUGCAAGUCGAGCGGUAAGGCCCUUUCGGGGGUACACGAGCGGCGAACGGGUGAGUAACACGUGGGUGACCUGCCCUCAGCUCUGGGAUAAGCCUGGGAAACCGGGUCUAAUACUGGAUAUGACUCCAUGACGCAUGUUGUGGGGUGGAAAGCCUUGUGCGGCUGAGGAUGGGCCCGCGGCCUAUCAGCUUGUUGGUGGGGUGAUGGCCUACCAAGGCGACGACGGGUAGCCGGCCUGAGAGGGCGACCGGCCACACUGGGACUGAGACACGGCCCAGACUCCUACGGGAGGCAGCAGUGGGGAAUCUUGCGCAAGUGGGCGAAAGCCUGACGCAGCGACGCCGCGUGAGGGAUGACGGCC
This 388-nucleotide ribosomal RNA is filed under the name uncultured bacterium. RNAcentral's name for it is "bacterial SSU rRNA". It matches the Rfam family "Bacterial small subunit ribosomal RNA", at positions 28 to 416 of the family's 1533-position model. The record is from RNAcentral.